This 676-nucleotide ribosomal RNA is filed under the name Salmonella enterica. RNAcentral describes it as "partial 23S ribosomal RNA". It matches the Rfam family "Bacterial large subunit ribosomal RNA", at positions 515 to 1190 of the family's 2925-position model. The record is from RNAcentral. Lineage: Bacteria; Pseudomonadati; Pseudomonadota; Gammaproteobacteria; Enterobacterales; Enterobacteriaceae.
CGAAAAGAACCCCGGCGAGGGGAGUGAAAAAGAACCUGAAACCGUGUACGUACAAGCAGUGGGAGCACAGGUUUACCUGUGUGACUGCGUACCUUUUGUAUAAUGGGUCAGCGACUUAUAUUCUGUAGCAAGGUUAACCGUAUAGGGGAGCCGGAGGGAAACCGAGUCUUAACCGGGCGUUAAGUUGCAGGGUAUAGACCCGAAACCCGGUGAUCUAGCCAUGGGCAGGUUGAAGGUUGGGUAACACUAACUGGAGGACCGAACCGACUAAUGUUGAAAAAUUAGCGGAUGACCUGUGGCUGGGGGUGAAAGGCCAAUCAAACCGGGAGAUAGCUGGUUCUCCCCGAAAGCUAUUUAGGUAGCGCCUCGUGAAUUCAUCUCCGGGGGUAGAGCACUGUUUCGGCUAGGGGGCCAUCCCGGCUUACCAACCCGAUGCAAACUGCGAAUACCGGAGAAUGUUAUCACGGGAGACACACGGCGGGUGCUAACGUCCGUCGUGAAGAGGGAAACAACCCAGACCGCCAGCUAAGGUCCCAAAGUCAUGGUUAAGUGGGAAACGAUGUGGGAAGGCCCAGACAGCCAGGAUGUUGGCUUAGAAGCAGCCAUCAUUUAAAGAAAGCGUAAUAGCUCACUGGUCGAGUCGGCCUGCGCGGAAGAUGUAACGGGGCUAAACCAU